GCUACCUUUGGGAAGUGAUUGUAGGAUCCAAUCCUUGCUAAGCUCUCCAUCCUUAACAAAACCCAACUAACCUAAUCGUGUAAUCAAGUCAAUCAUUUUGAGCAUAUGGGUUUACAUGGAUGUGUCCUCACUCAUUCUCGUAUGAAACAACUACUUAGAUUUCUUAUUUCUAGCAAUCAUGCUAUGCUAUCCAUACAACUCCCUC
This 205-nucleotide long non-coding RNA is filed under the name Elaeis guineensis (African oil palm). RNAcentral describes it as "long non-coding RNA (EGUI_LNC027430)". The record is from RNAcentral. Lineage: Eukaryota; Viridiplantae; Streptophyta; Magnoliopsida; Arecales; Arecaceae.